Molecule: ribosomal RNA, 429 nt
Filed under: uncultured bacterium
Lineage: Bacteria
Description: bacterial SSU rRNA
Rfam family: Bacterial small subunit ribosomal RNA
Source: RNAcentral
ACUGGUGAGUAACGCGUGGGUGACUACCCUGAGAUGGGGAUAGCCAUUAGAAAUAGUGGAGUAAUACCGAAUACGCUCUUUUUUGCUGUGGCGAGAAGAGGAAACAGGCUACGGCCUGGCUCGAGGAUGGGCCCGCGUCCCAUUAGCUAGUUGGUGAGGUAACGGCCCACCAAGGCGACGAUGGGUAUCCGGCCUGAGAGGGUGUACGGACACAUUGGGACUGAGAUACGGCCCAAACUCCUACGGGAGGCAGCAGCUAAGAAUAUUCCGCAAUGGACGAAAGUCUGACGGAGCGACGCCGCGUGGAUGAAGAAGGCCGAAAAAGGUUGUAAAAUCCUUUUGCUGAUGAAGAAUAAGUGGUGUAGGGAAUGACAUCAUGAUGACAUUAGUCGGUGAAUAAGCCCCGGCUAACUACGUGCCAGCCGCUGC